This is a long non-coding RNA of Hevea brasiliensis (rubber tree), 369 nucleotides long. RefSeq lists it as uncharacterized. The record is from RefSeq and is a predicted model, not a curated record. Lineage: Eukaryota; Viridiplantae; Streptophyta; Magnoliopsida; Malpighiales; Euphorbiaceae. The transcript is spliced from 3 exons.
GCCUCUUUAGAGUUUUAUUUUGAGUUAGUACUAAUAAAUUUAUAAUUUAAUUAUUAGGUGAUCGAGAUCAACUAUUUUCCUGCAUCCAGCAGCCACAAUAGUCGACGGUGUACUGUGAUCGAGAUCAACUAUUUUCCUGCAUCCAGCAGCCACAAUAGUCGACGGUGUACUGCCACAGGAGGAGUUAUUUUACAGAGCAACCUGUUUUCUUCCUCGCAGGUUUAACGUCAAUUAUUUAAUUGUUUUACUAUCUUUUCUAAAUUAAAAAUCUAGAACUCCGCAUGUGUUAGAAAUAGAGUGGACCUUGGUAGAGGUUGUGUGAACUUAAAUUUUUAAGAUUAAUAAAUGAAGAUUUGUAUGGUAUUUAAA